This 73-nucleotide transfer RNA is filed under the name Camelus bactrianus (Bactrian camel). It matches the Rfam family "tRNA". From Rfam's summary of the family: Transfer RNA (tRNA) molecules are approximately 80 nucleotides in length. Their secondary structure includes four short double-helical elements and three loops (D, anti-codon, and T loops). Lineage: Eukaryota; Metazoa; Chordata; Mammalia; Artiodactyla; Camelidae. The record is from Rfam by way of RNAcentral. RNAcentral also lists the same sequence under 1 other name.
GAGGGUAUAGCUCUAGUGGUAGAGCACAUGCUUAGCAUGCAUGAGGUCAUAGGUUCAAUCCCCAGUACCUCCU